AGUGAAAUAGGUUAUUUUUGACUGUGUGUUUUCAAAACAUAAGGUGAUAUACUUAUCUUUCGCUG
Molecule: transfer RNA, 65 nt
Filed under: Apharyngostrigea pipientis
Lineage: Eukaryota; Metazoa; Platyhelminthes; Trematoda; Diplostomida; Strigeidae
Description: tRNA-Trp
Source: RNAcentral